RNAcentral lists this long non-coding RNA (1035 nucleotides) under Manacus vitellinus (golden-collared manakin). RNAcentral describes it as "lncRNA (ENSMVIG00005004257.1)". The record is from RNAcentral. Lineage: Eukaryota; Metazoa; Chordata; Aves; Passeriformes; Pipridae.
CUGAGUCCUUUAUCCAUUAAUUCCCAAUUUCCUUGGAAAUCAGGGAAAACGCGGGAUUAGAGGCGUUUUCCCGGGAUAAAACGAGGUGAGGGGGGUCGUGGGCUUCCCAGAAAAUGCUGGAUGUGUGUUUAAAUCCCAACUGCUUCCUGCAUGGAAUCUGAUCAAAGGGAUUGCUGGGAAUUCCGGGCACAAAUUCCGGGUCGCCCGAAUUGUGGGAAUUCUCACUCCAGCUGCUCUUUUUCCCGGGGUUUUCCCAAGCUGGAAUCGCUUUGCUGGAAGCCCUGGAGCGUUUCUCCUUCCUGGGAUUUCCUUGGAAUUGCCGUGGGAUCCGACUCCAAGGGCGGGACAGGAGGUUCCCUGUGCUCCCGGUUCCGUAGGGAUCGUGGGUCUCCAGGCUGGGAAUUCCUGGAUCCCGGAGAGCCCAGGAAUUCCUGGCGUGUUUGGAGCAGGGAUUUGGUUGUGGGACUUUUGCCUUAUGGAAAAAAAUUCCAUGUGAGCCGAGGGAAUACUUGGAUCAGAGCCUGUGUCCUUCCCUGCCGGACACAUCCCUGCAGCUUUUCCUGGGAAUGUGGGGCUGGUCCCUUCUGUUCUUCCAGGCUUUUCCCUGGUGUUCCCUGGAUGGGAAUGUGGGAUGGAGGAGCCUUGGAGUCUCCUCUCAUUCCUGCUCUUCCCAGAGCUCCAGUCUGGGCAAUAAGUGUUCCCUUUCCUGAAGAAUUCCUGGAGAUAAACGGGAAUAACUGUUCCUCCUCCUGUGUGUUCUUCUGCUGGAGCUCUCCCUGUUGUGUUGGUGGCAUUCCAGGAUCUGGGAUUCCAGGAUCUGGGAUUCCUUGCUGGAGAAGGGAGAGGGCAGGUGGUUCACACCCCCCUUGGGUUGGAAGUCGGGGAUUCCCAUGGAAUUCACCCCAUUCCCAGGAAAAAGGCUCCCCAGCUUCCUCAUUCCUGCUGCUGCAAUUCCAGGGGUUUCCCGUGGGUUGGUGUUGCUGAAAUCCAAUUUGUUUUCCAUUGGAAUCCUGGAAUGGUUUGGGUGGGAAGGGA